Molecule: ribosomal RNA, 119 nt
Filed under: Capra hircus (goat)
Lineage: Eukaryota; Metazoa; Chordata; Mammalia; Artiodactyla; Bovidae
Source: RNAcentral
GUCUGUGGUCAUACCACCCUGAACGUGCCAGAUCUCAUCUGAUCUCGGAAGCUAAGUAGGGUCGGGCCUGGUUAGUAUGUGGAUGGGAGACCGCUUGGGAAUACCAGAUACUGUAGACU